CGCUGGCGGCGUGCCUAACACAUGCAAGUUUAGUGGCGGACGGGUGAGUAACGCGUGAGCAACCUGCCUUUCAGAGGGGGGACAACAGUUGGAAACGACUGCUAAUACCGCAUGAUGUGUCGGGAUCGCAUGAUCUUGACACCAAAGAUUUUAUCGCUGAAAGAUGGACUCGCGUACGAUUAGAUAGUUGGUGAGGUAACGGCUCACCAAGUCGACGAUCGUUAGCCGGACUGAGAGGUUGAACGGCCACAUUGGGACUGAGACACGGCCCAGACUCCUACGGGAGGCAGCAGUGAGGAAUAUUGGGCAAUGGGCGCAAGCCUGACCCAGCAAUGCCGCGUGAAGGAAGACGGUUUUCGGAUUGUAAACUUCUUUUGUCAGGGACGAACAAAUGACGGUACCUGACGAAUAAGCCACGGCUAACUACGUG
This 430-nucleotide ribosomal RNA is filed under the name uncultured bacterium. Its description in RNAcentral is "bacterial SSU rRNA". It matches the Rfam family "Bacterial small subunit ribosomal RNA", at positions 34 to 507 of the family's 1533-position model. The record is from RNAcentral.